GGCGUAAAGAGCUCGUAGGCGGUUUGUCGCGUCGUCUGUGAAAACCCGCAGCUCAACUGCGGGCUUGCAGGCGAUACGGGCAGACUUGAGUACUGCAGGGGAGACUGGAAUUCCUGGUGUAGCGGUGAAAUGCGCAGAUAUCAGGAGGAACACCGGUGGCGAAGGCGGGUCUCUGGGCAGUAACUGACGCUGAGGAGCGAAAGCGUGGGUAGCGAACAGGAUUAGAUACCCUGGUAGUCCACGCCGUAAACGGUGGGCGCUAGGUGUGGGUUUCCUUCCACGGGAUCCGUGCCGUAGCUAACGCAUUAAGCGCCCCGCCUGGGGAGUACGGCCGCAAGGCUAAAACUCAAAGGAAUUGACGGGGGCCCGCACAAGCGGCGGAGCAUGUGGAUUAAUUCGAUGCAACGCGAAGAACCUUACCUGGGUUUGACAUACACCGGACCGCCCCAGAGAUGGGGUUUCCCUUGUGGUCGGUGUACAGGUGGUGCAUGGCUGUCGUCAGCUCGUGUCGUGAGAUGUUGGGUUAAGUCCCGCAACGAGCGCAACCCUUGUCCUGUGUUGCCAGCACGUAAUGGUGGGGACUCGCAGGAGACUGCCGGGGUCAACUCGGAGGAAGGUGGGGACGACGUCAAGUCAUCAUGCCCCUUAUGUCCAGGGCUUCACACAUGCUACAAUGGCCGGUACAGAGGGCUGCGAUACCGCGAGGUGGAGCGAAUCCCUUAAAGCCGGUCUCAGUUCGGAUCGGGGUCUGCAACUCGACCCCGUGAAGUCGGAGUCGCUAGUAAUCGCAGAUCAGCAACGCUGCGGUGAAUACGUUCCCGGGCCCUUGUACACACCGCCCGUCACGUCAUGAAAGUCGGUAACACCCGAAGCCGGUGGCCUAACCCCUCGUGGGAGGGAGCCGUCGAAGUGGGAUCGGCGAUUGGACGAGUCGUACGACGAUGUAGAUC
Molecule: ribosomal RNA, 950 nt
Filed under: Rhodococcus ruber
Lineage: Bacteria; Bacillati; Actinomycetota; Actinomycetes; Mycobacteriales; Nocardiaceae
Description: bacterial SSU rRNA
Rfam family: Bacterial small subunit ribosomal RNA
Source: RNAcentral